CAGUAGCCGCGGGAAUACGUAGGGUGCAAGCGUUGUCCGGAUUUACUGGGCGUAAAGAGCUCGUAGGUGGUGUGUCGCGUCGUCUGUGAAAUUCCGGGGCUUAACUCCGGGCGUGCAGGCGAUACGGGCACGACUAGAGUGCUGUAGGGGUAACUGGAAUUCCUGGUGUAGCGGUGAAAUGCGCAGAUAUCAGGAGGAACACCGAUGGCGAAGGCAGGUUACUGGGCAGUUACUGACGCUGAGGAGCGAAAGCAUGGGGAGCGAACAGGAUUAGAUACCCCAGUAGUCCCUGUCUCUUAUA
This 301-nucleotide ribosomal RNA is filed under the name uncultured bacterium. Its description in RNAcentral is "partial 16S ribosomal RNA". It matches the Rfam family "Bacterial small subunit ribosomal RNA", at positions 509 to 808 of the family's 1533-position model. The record is from RNAcentral.